CAGGCUCUUCACAAUAAACUUCAAAUGCAACAGUCAGGAUAAAAUAGUACUGCAGUUUAUGUCACUUUCCACAAUAUAUACAAGGUUGUGCUCUCCCACAAAAAAAAUAAAACAAAAAGAAAAUAAAUCCUACUCCAACGUGGAGACUUACUAAACAACAGUAUUACUAACUAUUCAACUGGCCAGCUAAUCUGGUUCCCAGUUUUAAACAAAAUGAAAUACAGCACUUUAACCCCUUAAGGAC
Non-coding RNA from Pelobates cultripes (western spadefoot toad), 244 nucleotides. Lineage: Eukaryota; Metazoa; Chordata; Amphibia; Anura; Pelobatidae. The record is from the annotation of a GenBank genome assembly.